CAGCACCUCAAGUUGUCAGGAUGAUUAUUGGGCCUAAAGCAUCCGUAGCCUGCUUUGUUAGUUUUCGGUUAAAUCCAUACGCUCAACGUAUGGGCUGCCGGGAAUACUGCAAAGCUAGGGAGUGGGAGAGGUAGACGGUACUCGGUAGGAAGGGGUAAAAUCCUUUGAUCUAUUGAUGACCACCUGUGGCGAAGGCGGUCUACCAGAACACGUCCGACGGUGAGGGAUGAAAGCUGGGGGAGCAAACCGGAUUAGAUACCCGAGUAGUCC
This 270-nucleotide ribosomal RNA is filed under the name uncultured archaeon. RNAcentral's name for it is "partial 16S ribosomal RNA". It matches the Rfam family "Archaeal small subunit ribosomal RNA", at positions 477 to 747 of the family's 1478-position model. The record is from RNAcentral.